AGACUCUGGAGAAUCUCGUGUGGAGCGAGUGCCGAAGGUGCAAGGCGAAAGCUGAAUCUCUCAGGCAAAAGGACAGAGCAGG
RNAcentral lists this non-coding RNA (82 nucleotides) under human gut metagenome. RNAcentral describes it as "Glycine riboswitch". It matches the Rfam family "Glycine riboswitch aptamer", at positions 9 to 86 of the family's 94-position model. Rfam says of the family: This family represents the bacterial glycine riboswitch. Glycine riboswitches usually consist of two metabolite-binding aptamers domains with similar structures in tandem. RNAcentral also lists the same sequence under 1 other name. The record is from RNAcentral.